This is a long non-coding RNA of Gallus gallus (chicken), 1341 nucleotides long. NCBI's taxonomy places the organism in Eukaryota, Metazoa, Chordata, Aves, Galliformes, Phasianidae. The record is from Ensembl.
GCUCUUUUGCUUCCCAGGCUGUGAGGACGGAAUACAAUGGGUUCACAGCCUUCAGACUUUUUGAAAGGAGUGAACAGUGCUGAAAAGGUUCAGCAGAUCUUGAUGUGGGAGAAGUGCAAGUUUUCAGUAGUGCACCUCCCUGCCGGAGCUGCUGUAGUGGAGGUAGGGUUGACAAAACCAGCCUAGAUCAGAUCUGUGCCCAUUUUGAGACCAGCAGGAGAUGCUGCAGGGGACAAUUCCUACCAGAAGUCUGCUCCCACUGUAGGUGGGAGCCUGAUGGCGUAGGAGAGCCACAAUCCAUAAUGUUCAAGUGCUUUCCAGAGCCAAUCACAAGUCCCUACAUUCACAAUAUCCUCGGUUUAGCUGGCCCACUCCUGGAACUGGCUCAGACUGGCCCAAGAGGCAAUUUUUUCCCUUACGUUUUCAUUCUCAGCAUCCUGAGUUGCAACUUUUCAGGCGCUCCUUCUGCCUGACCACCAUCCCAUGAAGGUCCACCAUUGCCACAACCCCAAUGAUGUCAGGCUUUCCCUAUUCAAACAACUCUUAAGAUCUCCAGUUACAGUGGAGGAGCACCUUCCUUCCUGGGAAGGAUAGAGGCAGCAAGCUUCAUCCUCCUCCCAUUGCCUUCCUGUGGGAUUUCUGCCCACCCUGUCUUAUAGGGGCACAUGGGCAGAAGAACAUCUCAAGCAGUUUCCAAUGGCAGACCCAAUGCCUGGGGCCAGGCUGCCUCUCUUUGUGUAUGUGAGGGUCUCUGGAAUCUCCUAGAUUGGGGAAAACAUACCAAGAUUGGGACUCGGGUAAACAGCCCCUCAUGCUAUAUUUGGGUGCUGAUAAUGCAAACCACAGACAAACAAUAGAACAAGGACAAAUCUGUUGUCAGUAAACCAUGCAGGCAUUCAGGUCUUAAUUCUUCUUUUUGGUUUAGACUCAUUAAUGUCCAUUUUGCUGUUGAACGGGUAAUCCCAUCUCAACUCAGACAGGCCAUCCUACCCCUCCCGUCUACUAACACCAAUGCUCACACACACAAAAAAGGGAAAGUCACAACCUGGAGUUGGUGUGCUGCACACAGAGCACAGCCAGCAGCUUGCAGAGCAAAUUUUGGAAAGGUGGGAGCUGCCUGGAUUUCGAGUAACAGCCCAGUAAUGUUCUGAUGCUGACAUCACCUGGGAGGAUGGAUUAGCAACCCCAGUUACAAAGUGGGUCUAGCCUUUAUCCGAAAAAAAGAAGCUAGAGAAGUUCCAGAGCUGCUUCAGAAAAAGAAGGAUCCCCCUAAAUACCGGGGUCUCAACCACUGAUGCUACCAAUAUUGGAAGGACAAAUGGUUGACUUCCAAAAUGUCCA